GGUUUGAUCAUGGCUCAGAUUGAACGCUGGCGGAUGCUUUACACAUGCAGGUCGAACGGCAGCACGGACUUCGGUCUGGUGGCGAGUGGCGAACGGGUGAGUACAAUGUAUCGGAACGUGCCUAGUGGGUGGGAUAACUAGCACGCGCAAAGCGGUAGGCUAAUAUCAAAUACGCCCUUCGGGGGAAAGCGGGGACCUUCGGGCCUCGCACUAUUAGAGCGGCCGAUAUCGGAUUAGCCAGUUGGUGGGGUAACGUUCACCAAGGCGACGAUCCGUAGCUGGUUUGAGAGACGACCAGCCACUGGACUGAGAGGAGACACGGCCCAGACUCCCGCCGGAGGCAGUGGGGAAUUUUGACAAUGGGGGAAAUCCCUGAUCCAGCCAUCCCGCGUGUGCGAUGAAGGCCUUCGGGCUGUAAAGCACUUUGGCAGGAAAGAAACGGCACGAUAAUAACCGUGCAACUGACGGUACCCGCAGAAUAAGCACCGGCUAACCACGCGCCAGCAGCCGCGGUAAUACGUAGGGUGCAUGACCGGAAUUACUGGGCGAAGCGUGCGCAGGCGGUUCGGAAAGAGAUGUGAAACCUCAGGAGCUUAACUUUGGAACUGCAUUUUUUAACUACUGAUGAGGUGUCAGAGGGAGGUGGAAUUCCGCGUGUAGCAGUGAAUGUGCGUAGAUAUGCGGAGGAACACCGAUGGCGAAGCAGCCUCCUGGGGAUAACACUUGACGCCUAACAAAGCGUGGGAGCAAACAGGAUUAGAUAACUGGUGAACCACGCCCUAAACAGAUGUCAACUAGCUGUUGGGGCCUUCGCCUUGUAGCGUAGCUAACGCGUGUAAAGUUGGGACUGCCUGGGGAGCAUGGUCGCAAGAUUAAAAACUCAAAGGAAUUGACGGACCCGCACAAGGGUGGAUGAGAUGGGAUUAAUUCGAUGCAACGCGAAAACCUACUCUACCCCUUGACAUGUCUGGAAUCCCGGCAUUUGGGGGAGGCUUGUGCACAGAACCGGAACACAGGUGCUGCAUGGCUGUCAGUUCUGUGUCGUGGAGAUGUUGGGUUAAGUCCUGCAACGAGCGCAACCCGUCAUUAGUUGCUACGAAAGGGCACUCUAAUGAGACUGCCGGUGACAAACCGGAGGAAGGUGGGGGAUGACGUCAAGUCCCUGCGGCUUUGUGGGGAUUCACACGUCAUACAAUGGUCGGGAUAGAGGGGUCGCCAACCGGAGGGGAGCCAAUCCCAGAAACCCGAUCGUAGUCCGGAUCGUGGUCAGGAAUCUCUGACUAUGUAAGUCGAAUCGCUAGCACUGUGAUUCAGCAUGUCGCGGUGAAUACGUUCCCGGGUCUGGGCACACUGCCCGUCACACCAUGGAGUGGGUUUUACCAGAAGUAGUUAGGCCUAACCGUAAGGAAGGAUUACCACGGUAGGAUUCAGACUGGGGGAAGUCGUAAUACAAGGUAA
RNAcentral lists this ribosomal RNA (1458 nucleotides) under uncultured Bordetella sp. RNAcentral's name for it is "partial 16S-23S ribosomal RNA intergenic spacer". It matches the Rfam family "Bacterial small subunit ribosomal RNA". Lineage: Bacteria; Pseudomonadati; Pseudomonadota; Betaproteobacteria; Burkholderiales; Alcaligenaceae. The record is from RNAcentral.